GAUGAACGCUAGCUACAGGCUUAACACAUGCAAGUCGAGGGGCAGCACAGUGUAGCAAUACACGGGUGGCGACCGGCGCACGGGUGCGUAACGCGUAUCCAACCUUCCCGUUACUCUUGGAUAGCCUUCCGAAAGGGAGAUUAAUACAAGAUGGUAUUCAAAUUCCGCAUGUUAUUUGAAUUAAAGAUUUAUCGGUAACGGAUGGGGAUGCGUGACAUUAGGUAGAUGGCGGGGUAACGGCCCACCAUGCCUACGAUGUCUAGGGGUUCUGAGAGGAAGGUCCCCCACACUGGAACUGAGACACGGUCCAGACUCCUACGGGAGGCAGCAGUGAGGAAUAUUGGUCAAUGGUCGGAAGACUGAACCAGCCAAGUAGCGUGAAGGAUGAAGGUUCUAUGGAUUGGUAAACUUCUUUUAUACGGGAAUAAAACCNCCUACGUGUAGGUGCUUGUAUGUACCGUAUGAAUAAGCAUCGGCUAACUCCGUG
RNAcentral lists this ribosomal RNA (487 nucleotides) under uncultured bacterium. Its description in RNAcentral is "bacterial SSU rRNA". It matches the Rfam family "Bacterial small subunit ribosomal RNA", at positions 28 to 507 of the family's 1533-position model. The record is from RNAcentral.